RNAcentral lists this ribosomal RNA (1911 nucleotides) under human gut metagenome. RNAcentral's name for it is "bacterial LSU rRNA". It matches the Rfam family "Bacterial large subunit ribosomal RNA", at positions 586 to 2512 of the family's 2925-position model. The record is from RNAcentral.
UUUAGGUGUGAUGUCGUACUUUUUGUAGAACGGGCCGGCGAGUUACGAUGUGAUGCGAGGUUAAGUGUCAAAGACACGGAGCCGAAGCGAAAGCGAAUCUGAAGAGGGUGAGAAGUAUCAUGUCGUAGACCCGAAACCGAAUGACCUAACCAUGAGCAGGUUGAAGCAAUGGUAAAACGUUGUGGAGGACCGAACACACGCCUGUUGAAAUAGUCGGUGAUGACUUGUGGUUAGCGGAGAAAUUCCAAACGAAUUCGGAUAUAGCUGGUUCUCCUCGAAAUAGCUUUAGGGCUAGCCUCGCAUAUAAUCCUUGUCGGUAGAGCACUAAAUGGCCUAGGGGGCUUCACAGCCUACCGAAGCUUAUUAAACUCCGAAUGGCAAGGAAUUGAGUGCGGGAGUCAGACAGCGACAGCUAAGUGCCGUUGUCAAAAGGGAAACAGCCCAGAUCUACAGCUAAGGUCCCGAAGUACAGGUUAAGUGGAAAAGGAUGUGACAAUGCAUAGACAACCAGGAUGUUGGCUCAGAAGCAGCCACGCAUUAAAAGAGUGCGUAAUAGCUCACUGGUCGAGUGAUGUUGCGCCGAAAAUUAACGGGGCUCAAACCUGACACCGAAGCUUAGGAAUACGCGAAGCGUAUUGGUAGAGGAGCAAUGUAUACGAGCGGAAGCCGUACCGGAAGGAGCGGUGGAUUGUAUAGAAGAGAGAAUGCCGGCAUAAGUAGCGAGAGCGGAGCGAGAAACUCCGCCGUCGAAAGUCUGAGGUUUUCCGGGGAAGGUUCGUCCACCCGGAGUAAGUCGGGACCUAAGCGGAGGCCGAAAGGCGUACGUGAUGGACAACAGGUUGAUAAUCCUGUACUACCGAGAGAGCUAAUGAAGCAGUGACACGGAAAGAUAGAAGAAGCGCGCAGAUGGAAAAGCGCGUCCAAGCAGUGAGGGAGGCUUGUAGUAAAGUACGCAAGUCAUAAUCCUGGGCUGUGACGGGGAGUGGACCAAGGAAACGAAGUCUUUGAAUCUACGCCGGCGAGAAAAGCUGCUAAAUGUUUCGAGGUACCCGUACCGCAAACCGACACAGGUAGACGAGAAGAAAAUUCUAAGACGAACGGGAGAACCCUUGUUAAGGAACUCGGCAAAAUGACCCCGUAACUUCGGGAGAAGGGGAGCCACAGAGAUGUGGCCGCAGUGAAGAGGCCCAAGCGACUGUUUAUCAAAAACACAGGUUUCUGCUAAGGCGUAAGCCAAGGUAUAGGAGCUGACUCCUGCCCAGUGCCGGAAGGUCAAGGGGAUCCGUCAGCGCAAGCGAAGCGGUGAACUUAAGCCCCGGUGAACGGCGGCCGUAACUAUAACGGUCCUAAGGUAGCGAAAUUCCUUGUCGGGUAAGUUCCGACCCGCACGAAUGGAGUAACGAUUUGGGCACUGUCUCAACAGGGGGCCCGGCGAAAUUGUAGUAUACGUGAAGAUGCGUAUUAACCCGCGACUGGACGGAAAGACCCCGUAGAGCUUUACUGUAACUUGAUAUUGAAUCUCGGCAAUUGAUGCACAGAAUAGGUGGGAGACUGAGAAGCAGGUGUUUCGGCAUCUGUGGAGUCAACUUUGGGAUACCACUCUUCGAUUGCUGCGAUUCUAACCGGGACCGUUGAAGCACGGCUCGGGACAUUGUCAGGUGGGCAGUUUGACUGGGGCGGUCGCCUCCUAAAAUGUAACGGAGGCGCCCAAAGGUUCCCUCAGAAUGGUUGGAAAUCAUUCGACGAGUGUAAAGGCAUAAGGGAGCUUAACUGUGAGACAGACAUGUCGAACAGAUGCGAAAGCAGGGCUUAGUGAUCAGGUGGUAUGAGAAUGGAAUUGCCAUCGCUUAACGGAUAAAAGUUACCUCGGGGAUAACAGGCUUAUCUCCCCCAAGAGUUCACAUCGACGGG